GGGGGCGAACGGUUUCGACGGGUGUGAGAUCCCCCAGGAAGCGAGCCGAGGUCUCCACCACCUCGUAAAAAAGGUGGAACCAAAAAGAAGUGCCAACUACGAAAUGGCUCUCGCUGCCUAAUAGAGAAUAGGCAGCCGUCCCCCGCGAGGUCUGACCGGUGCCCGCGGAAGGGGCGUGAGACAGCCGGUCGACCGCUGAAAGGUUCGCCCCGACUUUCAGCGGUUUAAGAGGGGCUGUGGCUUGCAAGGGCCUGCCUGUGGGCUCUUGAUGGCCGAGAACUAAACACAGGCUGCGCUCGGAGAAGCCUGGGGGUGCUCACAUUCGGACGGGGGUUCGAUUCCCCCCGCCUCCACCA
This 356-nucleotide transfer-messenger RNA is filed under the name Thermotogales. Its description in RNAcentral is "Pseudothermotoga_A hypogea Standard tmRNA". It matches the Rfam family "transfer-messenger RNA". From Rfam's summary of the family: Bacterial tmRNA, also known as 10Sa RNA or SsrA, is named for its dual tRNA and mRNA-like properties. Its role is to liberate the mRNA from a stalled ribosome. To accomplish this part of the tmRNA is used as a reading frame that ends in a translation stop signal. RNAcentral also lists the same sequence under 1 other name. The record is from RNAcentral. Lineage: Bacteria; Thermotogati; Thermotogota; Thermotogae.